Molecule: ribosomal RNA, 477 nt
Filed under: Triticum aestivum (bread wheat)
Lineage: Eukaryota; Viridiplantae; Streptophyta; Magnoliopsida; Poales; Poaceae
Description: partial small subunit ribosomal RNA
Source: RNAcentral
AUGCUUAGAAUGAAAAGAGCACCAUUUGCCAGGCUUGUCGAGACCUUCAGGAGCAGGGGGCUGUUACAAGAUAGCAUCAACACCAGUGUCGAAGAGCAAGUGGCCAUAUUCCUCCAUGUUGUUGGCCAUAACCAGAGGUUCAGGGUCAUUCACAACACGUUCAGGAGAUUAAUGGAGACCAUCUCUAGGUACUUCAAGCAAGUGCUUUUUGCUAUUGGGGAGCUUAAAGGAGGGAUGACCAGAAGACCAUCUGGUCAGACUCCACCCAAGAUUCACGGAAGCCCAAUAUGGUAUCCAUACUUCAAGGAUUGCAUUGGGGCAAUAGAUGGUACUCAUGUCACUGCCAGAGUUCCCAGGUCACAGUCUGCAGCAUACAGGGGGAGGAAGCACUACACAAGCCAAAAUGUGCUUGCUGCUGUUGACUUUGAUCUGAAAGUUCACAUAUGUGCUGGCUGGCUGGUAGGGGUCAGCGCAUGA